This is a non-coding RNA of Gossypium arboreum, 98 nucleotides long. The record is from Rfam. Lineage: Eukaryota; Viridiplantae; Streptophyta; Magnoliopsida; Malvales; Malvaceae.
GGGAGGAGUAGACACGACGUGAUAUUGGUUCGGCUCAUCUUAUUGUGAUUAAAAAUUUCAAGGCGAGCCGAAUCAAUAUCACUCAUGUAUGCUUUUUU